GCCUGGCUGACUCAGUCAGUAGAGCAUGAAACUCUAAAUCUCAGGGUUGUGGGUUCGAGCCCCACAUUGGGCA
RNAcentral lists this transfer RNA (73 nucleotides) under Ovis aries (sheep). It matches the Rfam family "tRNA". From Rfam's summary of the family: Transfer RNA (tRNA) molecules are approximately 80 nucleotides in length. The record is from Rfam by way of RNAcentral. Lineage: Eukaryota; Metazoa; Chordata; Mammalia; Artiodactyla; Bovidae.